UUCUAGAUUUGAUUGUCAUUAUAGCUGUAAUCUUCCAACUCUCGCAAUACUGUUCAUGCGUUAUAUAACCAAUAUUCUGUAAUGCAAUUGGCCUUGAUAAUCCAAUAUUUAUUAUGCAGUCCUGGUGUUUUCAUCUUGCUGCUGACUCAAUGCUGCCCAAAUCCAAUAUUUAGAUCCUUAGCUCAUGCCUGAACUGUACCUUGUGAGUCCAGGCCCUCCAUUAUCGAUAUGUAGUGAUAUGACUUUCUGACUUCAGAAAAUGUAAACAAAGACAAGGCCAUAGUCAUCCUUUUUCUCUAUAAAUAUUCCAAAAAGCAGGAACAAUACUCUUAGCCAAGCUUGUCAAGAUGAAGACUUUUUUCUCUCCUUGGGUCUUUUUUGCUCCUGGUUUUUGUUCCAUGUCAUGAGAAAGUCCUGGCAACUAACACUCACCUUAAGGAAAAAAUACAGCUCCCUACCC
Molecule: long non-coding RNA, 460 nt
Filed under: Homo sapiens (human)
Lineage: Eukaryota; Metazoa; Chordata; Mammalia; Primates; Hominidae
Description: HSALNT0214106
Source: RNAcentral